CUGCGGAGGGAUCAUUACACAAAUAUGAAGGCGGGCUGGAACCUCUCGGGGUUACAGCCUUGCUGAAUUAUUCACCCUUGUCUUUUGCGUACUUCUUGUUUCCUUGGUGGGUUCGCCCACCACUAGGACAAACAUAAACCUUUUGUAAUUGCAAUCAGCGUCAGUAACAAAUUAAUAAUUACAACUUUCAACAACGGAUCUCUUGGUUCUGGCAUCGAUGAAGAACGCAGCGAAAUGCGAUAAGUAGUGUGAAUUGCAGAAUUCAGUGAAUCAUCGAAUCUUUGAACGCACAUUGCGCCCUUUGGUAUUCCAAAGGGCAUGCCUGUUCGAGCGUCAUUUGUACCCUCAAGCUUUGCUUGGUGUUGGGCGUCUUGUCUCUAGCUUUGCUGGAGACUCGCCUUAAAGUAAUUGGCAGCCGGCCUACUGGUUUCGGAGCGCAGCACAAGUCGCACUCUCUAUCAGCAAAGGUCUAGCAUCCAUUAAGCCUUUUUUUUCAACUUUUGACCUCGGAUCAGGUAGGGAUACCCGCUGAACUUAAGCAUAUCAAUAAG
This 551-nucleotide ribosomal RNA is filed under the name Alternaria alternata. RNAcentral's name for it is "eukaryotic LSU rRNA". The stretch from base 183 to 336 matches the Rfam family "5.8S ribosomal RNA". Lineage: Eukaryota; Fungi; Ascomycota; Dothideomycetes; Pleosporales; Pleosporaceae. The record is from RNAcentral.